This 465-nucleotide ribosomal RNA is filed under the name uncultured bacterium. RNAcentral's name for it is "partial 16S ribosomal RNA". It matches the Rfam family "Bacterial small subunit ribosomal RNA", at positions 28 to 507 of the family's 1533-position model. The record is from RNAcentral.
GACGAACGCUGGCGGCGUGCUUAACACAUGCAAGUCGUACGGUAAGGCCCUUUCGGGGGUACACGAGUGGCGAACGGGUGAGUAACACGUGAGUAACCUGCCCACAACUUUGGGAUAACGCUAGGAAACUGGUGCUAAUACUGGAUAUGUUCUCCUGCUGCAUGGUGGGGGUUGGAAAGCUCCGGCGGUUGUGGAUGGACUCGCGGCCUAUCAGCUUGUUGGUGGGGUAGUGGCCUACCAAGGCGGCGACGGGUAGCCGGCCUGAGAGGGUGACCGGCCACAUUGGGACUGAGAUACGGCCCAGACUCCUACGGGAGGCAGCAGUGGGGAAUAUUGCACAAUGGGCGCAAGCCUGAUGCAGCAACGCCGCGUGCGGGAUGACGGACUUCGGGUUGUAAACCGCUUUCAGCAGGGACGAAGCUUUUUGUGACGGUACCUGCAGAAGAAGCACCGGCUAACUACGUG